RNAcentral lists this ribosomal RNA (425 nucleotides) under uncultured Gammaproteobacteria bacterium. Its description in RNAcentral is "bacterial SSU rRNA". It matches the Rfam family "Bacterial small subunit ribosomal RNA", at positions 354 to 771 of the family's 1533-position model. The record is from RNAcentral. Lineage: Bacteria; Pseudomonadati; Pseudomonadota; Gammaproteobacteria.
GUGGGGAAUAUUGGACAAUGGGGGCAACCCUGAUCCAGCAAUGCCACGUGUGCGAAGAAGGCCUUCGGGUUGUAAAGCACUUUAGUAGGGGAGCAAGGUUACGGCGUUAAUAUCGCCGUGAUUUGAGAGUACCCUAAGAAUAAGCACCGGCAAACUCUGUGCCAGCAGCCGCGGUAAUACAGAGGGUGCAAGCGUUAAUCGGAAUUACUGGGCGUAAAGGGCUUGUAGGCGGCUAAUUAAGUUAGAUGUGAAAUACCUGGGCUUAACCUGGGAAUGGCAUUUAAUACUGAUUAGCUAGAGUAUGGUAGAGGAAAGGGGAAUUUCCGGUGUAGCAGUGAAAUGCGUAGAUAUCGGAAGGAACAUCAGUGGCGAAGGCGCCUUUCUGGACUAAUACUGACGCUGAGGAGCGAAGGCGUGGGGAGCAA